RNAcentral lists this small RNA (132 nucleotides) under Escherichia coli. RNAcentral describes it as "RtT sRNA". It matches the Rfam family "RtT RNA". Rfam says of the family: This family represents a bacterial cis-regulatory element known as RtT RNA. The record is from RNAcentral. Lineage: Bacteria; Pseudomonadati; Pseudomonadota; Gammaproteobacteria; Enterobacterales; Enterobacteriaceae.
GUUUGCACUCAUCGGGGAAGGGUGAGAACCUUCGACUAAGGUUCGAUUCGAGCGAAAGCGAGAGAACGUUGCCACAGGCAACGGCCCGAAGGGUGAGGCGCGCAGCGCUGAGUAAUCCUUCCCCCACCACCA